AUGUACAAUAAUACCCUCACCAAGGCCAUAUCUUGAUAUUUAAAAUAAUAGCAUAAUAAAGGCAAUAUUACUAAAAAUGGGAAGAACUUCACAAAGAUGUAUCUAAACAAUUGAACCUUUCUGAAUAAUGAUAGAGGGUCACGCACGUGACUAAGACCUGUUGCUCGGGUAGAUACAGUCGAUUGAUAAAAGGUUGUCGUCAACCGGCUUCGCAACUACGCGACAAGCCCGAAUGUAAGCAUGGGUAAAAACCACUGAAGCGCCUAGCUGCAUACACCUAUUUCAAUUAAGUUUGACAUAAAGAAAAUGGAAAAUGUCUGACCGCAGUUAUUGGUGGGAAAGAAAGUGGGUGCUUUCUCGAUCCGCUUGCUGGUGAAAUGCCCCGAGCAUACAGUGAAGAUUUGAAGUGGCGAAUUAUUCACAUGAAGCAAUAGAAAGGUGCGACAGACGACGAGCUAGAGGAUAUAUUUGGAGUUAGUAAGUCCACGAUAGCUAGAUAUUUAAAACUCUACCGAAAUUCUGGUAAUGUUAACUGUAUGACUAUGGGAAGACCAGUCGAGUCCACCGUAAUUGCGCCUGAUGAGCAGCGAGUCAUCAUCGAAAUUUUGCUGCGUCAACCUGACCGAAGACUCCUAGAACUCCAACAAGAAGUUGGACGAGUGUCUGGAGCUGUCUACUCGAUAUCAGCCAUUCAAUACUACCUUCGGAGAAACGGAAUAACCAGGAAAAAAGCUAAAGAAACAAGCUUUGCAAAGGGACGAAAUCAGGCGCACCGACUUCAGGGAUACUGUAUGCACACUCGAUCCAAGGACCCGAUAUUCUUGGACAAAAGCAGAUUAGUAAGUGCUAAUACCGUACUACUAAAGACAUAUAUUUUUCAAAAUGUAAUAUGCAAUUUCAUGUAAACUGUGUAGUUAUUAAUUAUGACAAUCUGAUGUGAAUUCCAACCGAUGAUUUAAUGAACUUCCACGUUCUCUUGUAGGACAAACGUAUUGCUCGCAAUUAUGGCUACCGCUUCAGGGGCACAUGAGCCACUAUUAAACGCCGUCACCUCAACUGGGGGCCUAGAAUUACAGCUAUACCAAUUGUCAAUUGUGACGGAUUCCUUGACGUUGGCAUUUACUGAGGCAACAUUAACGGAUAACGAUUUCUACGAUAACGCCGCGAUUCACCACACACCCGGUGUUCUAAAUGCAAACCGAGCAACUGGUGUGCUAGUACUAUUCCUCUCUGCAUACAGUCCUGAUUACAUGCCAUGUGAAGGAAUAUUCCCCUUAGUCAAGUCAUGGAUCAAGGAAAAGGAUGCUGUUUGGCAUGCAACAGACGAAUCAGAAGAAUUUGUAUUUCAUGCAUUUAUGGAAGUGACCAACGAAGAUGUGGUAUCUUUCUGCAGGAAUGCCCAAUACAUCUAGAAGACUAUUAUCAAUCAUUGGGGAAAAACACUUUGUUCUUUUUAUUAACAGAAGAUGAAGAGAACUUGUUGUAAUGUAUGUUAUUUACAUUGUACAAUUUUCAUUGUAUUAGGGGCCGUCCACACUAACACGGAUUCGUUUGAAUCCGUAUACUUUUUGAUACGUUUAGGCCUUCCGUCCACAAUAACACGCGCGCUGAUUCCAGCGAAUCCGGAUACUUUUGAAAACGCCGUCGAAAGUGAAUCAAAAUGAAUCCGUAUACUGUGGUCCGUAAGUGUGGACGGUCAAAUCCGUAUCAAAAUGAAAACGAUAUCGUCAUAUCGCAUGCGCGCGCUGCUUUGAGCAUGCGCAUAUCAUAAAAAUGACGUCACCCUGUACCUUUCAGUGUUAGUGUGGACGGCUGGAUCCAGGCGAACACGAUGCGAAAAUGAUAGUGUGGACGCGAAUCCAGUGAUGCGUUUUCGGCGAAACGAAUCCGGAUACUUUUGAAUCCGUGUCAGUGUGGACGACCCCUUGUUUAGAGAUGCGUCCAUGCUCACAAUCAUUCAAGCUGAUUCGGUACACACACAAAACGGAAUUAAAAUUGUUUAACUGAUAUUAAAAUUGUUUAAAUAACCGCA
This is an RNA transcript of Nematostella vectensis (starlet sea anemone), 2032 nucleotides long. RefSeq lists it as uncharacterized. The record is from RefSeq and is a predicted model, not a curated record. The transcript has 3 exons. NCBI's taxonomy places the organism in Eukaryota, Metazoa, Cnidaria, Anthozoa, Actiniaria, Edwardsiidae.